UAAUAAAUUUAAAUAAAAAGCAAAGUGAGAAGUUAAUAAAAAAUUGCAUAAAAUAGUGAGAUUACAGAACUAAUAGUGAAUUAGGCUGAAGAAGUGUGCGCGAGCGCGCGCGUCUGUGCUUUUUUUUCUGCUUGUGCGAGGGAACUGGAGUGGUGGCGGCUGCGGUCGUUGGGUGCAAACUACCAGAAAGUUGGAAGUACAAAUUGUCGGAAAAUUGAAAACAAUAAAAAGAAAAUUAAAAAAAAA
Long non-coding RNA from Rhagoletis zephyria (snowberry fruit fly), 246 nucleotides. RefSeq lists it as uncharacterized. NCBI's taxonomy places the organism in Eukaryota, Metazoa, Arthropoda, Insecta, Diptera, Tephritidae. The record is from RefSeq and is a predicted model, not a curated record.